UUUUUGGCUGAUUGAGAUCCUCCAAUGCCGCUUGAUAAAUCAGUCUCUUAUCAUUCCCAGCAACACUUUCUUCACCAACCAUGGGACUAUAUGCAGGAUCACUCGAACCAAACUAAGCAGAGGAAGCGGGCUUUCCAUGCAUCAAGGAUGGAGGUAGUAUCCUACUUCUGUUAAUUUCAUACAUCACAAUAUCCUCAUAAUUUCCCUUUCGGUAAUGGGCCCUCAUAUUAUUGGUCAAACUUGGCCCUGCCAAAUGGUAUGCGCUUCCAUGGAUAUCACGGGUAUGACUACUACAACCAUUCUCCACUAAGUUUGCUGAUUUACUACUAAUUGGAGAUCGAUGAAGAGAAGCAGGGAGGGUCCUCUUCAGAGCUUGUCGAGAAUUAACAGUCUGAGGCUGACCCAUAUUCCCA
Molecule: unclassified non-coding RNA, 413 nt
Filed under: Hevea brasiliensis (rubber tree)
Lineage: Eukaryota; Viridiplantae; Streptophyta; Magnoliopsida; Malpighiales; Euphorbiaceae
Source: RNAcentral